GUUUCACCUGAGACCACCGUUAUCGUAAACGAGGAACGGCAUUGGUUUUUAAGGCUAAUAUUCGAUAAUAAUUUGUAAACGGUAAACGAUAACACAUAAUAUUAUAUAAAAUGUUUAAACAUUGCAUUCAAAUGCGAAUUGCGCAACAGAGAACAACGGUCUACCUACACUUUUUUGGAAUACGGCCGAGGAAGAGUUCUGCUCUAAGCGAGCUCAACUUUUUCCUAUGGGGGAGUAUGAUCUGUAUUUUGUUUUGCUG
Molecule: non-coding RNA, 259 nt
Organism: Cinara cedri
Lineage: Eukaryota; Metazoa; Arthropoda; Insecta; Hemiptera; Aphididae
Source: the annotation of a GenBank genome assembly